GAAAAUACUACCAAACAGCCAGUUGAUGAUGCUAAUACACCAGCAAAUACCAUUGAUGAUUCUACAAAUGACCCUAUGGAUGCAAUUGACCCUAGUGUCUUAAAGGAACACUUUCAUCAGGUUGAUAUCAUGAGUGGGACCAUGCACAAUGAGGAACAUAUAGCACCAGCAAAAUUUCUGUUACAGGUGGAUGUCAUAAGUGGAAUUGGUGACAAUAUGGAACCCAUAGCCCUUGCACAGGCUCGAGAAAAACCUAUGUCACAGGUGA
Dioscorea cayenensis subsp. rotundata (Guinea yam) is the source of this 268-nucleotide long non-coding RNA. RefSeq lists it as uncharacterized. NCBI's taxonomy places the organism in Eukaryota, Viridiplantae, Streptophyta, Magnoliopsida, Dioscoreales, Dioscoreaceae. The record is from RefSeq and is a predicted model, not a curated record. The transcript is spliced from 4 exons.